Molecule: ribosomal RNA, 324 nt
Filed under: uncultured eukaryote
Lineage: Eukaryota
Description: partial 18S ribosomal RNA
Rfam family: Eukaryotic small subunit ribosomal RNA
Source: RNAcentral
CCCUUAGAUGUUCUGGGCUGCACGCGCGCUACACUGAAGCUAUCAACACGUUUUCCCUCCCUGAGAAGGGCGGGUAACCUUUUGAAUCAGCUUCGUGGUAGGGAUCGGGGCUUGCAAUUGUUCCCCGUGAACCAGGAAUUCCUAGUAGACGCGAGUCAUAAGCUCGCAUCGAUUAAGUCCCUGCCCUUUGUACACACCGCCCGUCGCUACUACCGAUUGAACGUUUUAGUGAGGCAUUUGGACCGACGCAUCUCAGUUUAACCGCUGGUUUGUGUUGGAAAGACUUCCAAACUUGAGCGUUUAGAGGAAGCAAAAGUCGUAACA